GACGAACGCUGGCGGCGUGCUUAACACAUGCAAGUCAAGGGGACCCGCAAGGGUAACCGGCGAACGGGUGCGUAACACGUGAGCAACCUACCGAGAUCUGGGGGAUAGCCGGCCCAACGGCCGGGUAAUACCGCAUACGCUCUUUCCACGGCAUUGUGGAUUGAGGAAACCUCCCGGGGGAUUUCGAGGGGCGUCGCGGCCUAUCAGCUAGUUGGCGAGGUCACGGCUCACCAAGGCGACGACGGGAGCUGGUCUGAGAGGAUGGCCAGCCACAUUGGGACUGAGAAACGGCCCAGACUCCUACGGGAGGCAGCAGUGGGGAAUCUUGCGCAAUGGCCGAAAGGCUGACGCAGCGACGCCGCGUGUGGGAGGAAGCCUUUCGGGUGUAACCACUGUUGCCGGGACGAACAGCUCCUUCGUGGAGCCUGACGGUACCGGGUGAGGAAGCACCGGCUAACUCCGUGCCAGCCGCCGCUGU
This 478-nucleotide ribosomal RNA is filed under the name uncultured bacterium. RNAcentral's name for it is "bacterial SSU rRNA". It matches the Rfam family "Bacterial small subunit ribosomal RNA", at positions 28 to 521 of the family's 1533-position model. The record is from RNAcentral.